RNAcentral lists this ribosomal RNA (261 nucleotides) under uncultured bacterium. RNAcentral describes it as "partial 16S ribosomal RNA". It matches the Rfam family "Bacterial small subunit ribosomal RNA", at positions 524 to 782 of the family's 1533-position model. The record is from RNAcentral.
UACGAGGGGGGCAAGCGUUGUUCGGAAUUAUUGGGCGUAAAGGGCGCGUAGGCGGCGCGGUAUGUCACCUGUGAAAUCUCCUGGCUCAACUGGGAGCUUGCAGGCGAAACUGCCGUGCUGGAGUGUGGGAGAGGUGCGUGGAAUUCCUGGUGUAGCGGUGAAAUGCGUAGAUAUUAGGAAGAACACCGGUGGCGAAGGCGGCCAUCUGGCGUCGGUACUGACGCUCGAGGCGCGAAAGCGUGGGGAGCAAACAGGAUUGAG